Molecule: transfer RNA, 70 nt
Filed under: Leiopelma hochstetteri
Lineage: Eukaryota; Metazoa; Chordata; Amphibia; Anura; Leiopelmatidae
Description: tRNA-Gln
Rfam family: tRNA
About the family: Transfer RNA (tRNA) molecules are approximately 80 nucleotides in length. Their secondary structure includes four short double-helical elements and three loops (D, anti-codon, and T loops). Further hydrogen bonds mediate the characteristic L-shaped molecular structure. tRNAs have two regions of fundamental functional importance: the anti-codon, which is responsible for specific mRNA codon recognition, and the 3' end, to which the tRNAs corresponding amino acid is attached (by aminoacyl-tRNA synthetases). tRNAs cope with the degeneracy of the genetic code in two manners: having more than one tRNA (with a specific anti-codon) for a particular amino acid; and 'wobble' base-pairing, i.e. permitting non-standard base-pairing at the 3rd anti-codon position.
Source: RNAcentral
AGAUGGUGGUGUACAGGAGGCAUGUGGAGUUUUGAUCUCCCAGGUAUAGGUUCAAUUCCUAUCUAUCUAA